GACGUAGGAUGCAAGCGUUGUCCGGAUUUAUUGGGCGUAAAGAGUUCGUAGGCGGUUCGUUAAGUCUGAUGUUAAAGACUGGGGCUCAACCUCGGAAAUGCAUUGGAUACUGGCGGACUGGAGUACAGUAGAGGCAAGCGGAAUUCCCAGUGUAGCGGUGAAAUGCGUAGAUAUUGGGAAGAACACCGGUGGCGCAAGCGGCUUGCUGGGCUGUAACUGACGCUGAGGAACGAAAGCUAGGGUAGCGAAUGGG
This 253-nucleotide ribosomal RNA is filed under the name uncultured bacterium. RNAcentral describes it as "partial 16S ribosomal RNA". It matches the Rfam family "Bacterial small subunit ribosomal RNA", at positions 524 to 776 of the family's 1533-position model. The record is from RNAcentral.